Molecule: long non-coding RNA, 407 nt
Organism: Maniola jurtina (meadow brown)
Lineage: Eukaryota; Metazoa; Arthropoda; Insecta; Lepidoptera; Nymphalidae
Exons: 2
Source: RefSeq, a predicted model, not a curated record
GAACUAAUACUCGCAAAGGGCAGACCUUCGUUAUUUAUAAAAGAACUGUAAAGCUUACAAACUUAAAAUUCAGAAAAUGAAUUCCUUGUAAGGCCCACCAAACAGUUUUGGGCAAAUCCACCCUGGGGUCAAAUGAGGAUUGGAAGAUUCUAUGAAAGUCGUACCUAUGAAAGCUGUAUGAAGUAAGGCAAGUAAACUAAGUAUAAUGUGCAUCGCGUCAUCGUACUUCUUAAUCUACUUCAAGAUAAUCCGGUGGUAACACGGUACAAGCUCAAAAUAGAACUCGCCAGUCCAAACAUUUUUUUAAAGUAUUAAUUUUAGAUUACAGUAAAGUAUUACAGCUUUACACAAGAAAUAAGAUUGUAUAAAUGUAAUACGGAACGUGUUAAUAAAUAUAAGCGGGAUGA